This 497-nucleotide ribosomal RNA is filed under the name uncultured bacterium. Its description in RNAcentral is "partial 16S ribosomal RNA". It matches the Rfam family "Bacterial small subunit ribosomal RNA", at positions 28 to 507 of the family's 1533-position model. The record is from RNAcentral.
GAUGAACGCUGGCGGCAUGCCUAAUACAUGCAAGUCGAGCGAACAGACGAGGACUUUGAUCCUCUGGCGUUAGCGGCGGAGGGGUGAGUAACACGGGGACAACCUACCUAUAAGACUGGGAUACCUUCGGGAAACCGGAGCUACUGCCGACUAAUAUAUUGAACCGGAUGGUGCACUAGUGGAAGACGGUUUUGCUGUCACUUAUAGAUGGAUCAGCGCCUCAUUAGCUAGUUGGCAAGGUAACGGCUUACCAAGGCAACGAUGCGUAGCCGACCUGAGAGGGUGAUCGGCCACACUGGAACUGAGACACGGCCCAGACUCCUACGGGAGGCAGCAGUAGGGAAUCUUGCGCAAUGGGCGAAAGCCUGACGGAGCAAUGCCGCGUGAGUGAUGAAGGUCUUCGGAUCGUAAAGCUCUGUUGUUCGGAAAGAACAAAUGUGUAAUUAACCAUGCAGGUCAUGACGGUACCGGAACAAAAAGCCCCGGCUAACUACGUG